AUUGAACGCUGGCGGCAGGCUUAACACAUGCAAGUCGAGCGGGGAAGGGUAGCUUGCUACCUAACCUAGCGGCGGACGGGUGAGUAAUGCUUAGGAAUCUGCCAUUAGUGGGGGACAACAUUCCGAAAGGAAUGCUAAUACCGCAUACGUCCUACGGGAGAAAGCAGGGGAUCUUCGGACCUUGCGCUAAAUGAUGAGCCUAAGUCGGAUUAGCUAGUUGGUGGGGCAAAGGCCUACCAAGGCGACGAUCUGUAGCGGGUCUGAGAGGAUGAUCCGCCACACUGGGACUGGAACACGGCCCAGACUCCUACGGGAGGCAGCAGUGGGGAAUAUUGGACAAUGGGCGGAAGCCUGAUCCAGCCAUGCCGCGUGUGUGAAGAAGGCCUUAUGGUUGUAAAGCACUUUAAGCGAGGAGGAGGCUACUGAGACUAAUACUCUUGGAUAGUGGACGUUACUCGCAGAAUAAGCACCGGCUAACUCUGUGCCAGCCGCCGCGGUAA
Molecule: ribosomal RNA, 500 nt
Filed under: uncultured bacterium
Lineage: Bacteria
Description: partial 16S ribosomal RNA
Rfam family: Bacterial small subunit ribosomal RNA
Source: RNAcentral